RNAcentral lists this ribosomal RNA (279 nucleotides) under uncultured bacterium. Its description in RNAcentral is "partial 16S ribosomal RNA". It matches the Rfam family "Bacterial small subunit ribosomal RNA", at positions 506 to 784 of the family's 1533-position model. The record is from RNAcentral.
UGCCAGCAGCCGCGGUAAUACGGAGGGUGCAAGCGUUAAUCGGAUUUAUUGGGCGUAAAGGGGGUCUAGGCGGGAAGACAAGUCAGAUGUGAAAUUUCAGAGCUCAACUCUGGAGCUGCAUUUGAAACUGUUUUUCUUGAGGAUAAUCGGAGAAAGUAGAAUUCCACAAGUAGCGGUGAAAUGCGUAGAUAUGUGGAGGAAUACCAGUGGCGAAGGCGACUUUCUAGAUUAUUCCUGACGCUAAAGCCCGAAAGCAAGGGGAGCAAACAGGAUUAGAUA